CCGGCUGCCAGCCUAUCGUCGCCGCCGCCUCGCAAAGUCCGCUUCCUGGGUCAGCCAAUCAGAGAUCUGUUGCGAGGUUGCCCGAGGGAAGAUAGGUACGUCACGGGGGUGGCAGGGCCCUUAACGGGCAGGGGCGUGGCCAGAGGAGGGCGAAGUCGGGACGUUAAGGGCCGCAGAGCGCGUGCGCAGGAACGUGGAAAGUUCCAGGACACGGAACCGUUGGGACGGAGGACCUGAAGGUGGAGUGAGUGGACUCACCCUGAAUUCUUUCUUGCACGAGAUCCAAGAAUUCUCCCUUGGGAUCUGGACUGGACCCCUUUCCUGUAACAGAAUUACAGUUUUUGAGAUGGAGUUUCACUCUUCUUGCCCAGGCUGGAG
This 378-nucleotide long non-coding RNA is filed under the name Homo sapiens (human). Its description in RNAcentral is "HSALNT0353473". The record is from RNAcentral. Lineage: Eukaryota; Metazoa; Chordata; Mammalia; Primates; Hominidae.